UACAGAGGAUGCAAGCGUUAUCCGGAAUGAUUGGACGUAAAGAGCUCGUAGGCGGUUUGUCGCGUCUGCCGUGAAAGUCCGGGGCUCAACUCCGGAUCUGCGGUGGGUACGGGCAGACUAGAGUGAUGUAGGGGAGACUGGAAUUCCUGGUGUAGCGGUGAAAUGCGCAGAUAUCAGGAGGAACACCGAUGGCGAAGGCAGGUCUCUGGGCAUUAACUGACGCUGAGGAGCGAAAGCAUGGGGAGCGAACAGG
RNAcentral lists this ribosomal RNA (253 nucleotides) under uncultured bacterium. Its description in RNAcentral is "partial 16S ribosomal RNA". It matches the Rfam family "Bacterial small subunit ribosomal RNA", at positions 524 to 776 of the family's 1533-position model. The record is from RNAcentral.